Molecule: long non-coding RNA, 546 nt
Filed under: Anser brachyrhynchus (Pink-footed goose)
Lineage: Eukaryota; Metazoa; Chordata; Aves; Anseriformes; Anatidae
Description: lncRNA (ENSABRG00000001296.1)
Source: RNAcentral
CAGGCUGGCAGAAAUGGGAACCUGGUGUCUAAGAUUUCCACCAAAGAUAGAUGUGGUAUCCUAGAAUAAAGACACCCUAAAGCCAUUGGAAGACUACCUUCCAUUUUGUACAGCAAGGCAAUUGGCUCACAGAGCUCAGGCACUUGAAACCUAGUGUACAAAAGACACAGAAGCACAGGUGUGGUGGAGAUAUUGAAGGGAGAGUCAGUAGUACCAAGACUGCAGAAGCAGAAAAGUUGAAAAAGUUUCAGACCCACAGAUAUGACUACCUUUCGGCUGAGUUGGGAAAGUAGCAUCCACUGACAGGCCUGGAGGAUUGCGGUUGCUUUUUCCAUGCAGCACGGGAAGAGUUUGGGCUGUGCUCACCCAGUCCUGCCAGCCGCAUAGCUGGUGCUUCCCUAUCACUCUGGUGUUUCCUUACAGACCAUGGAGAGAGUGGGACUCAGGGACCAGGUGAGCUGACUUGGUGCCUGAUGCUAGAAGGGUUGAAUGCUCUGUGCACAGGGAACAGAGGACUGUCCCGUGUACAUCAGAUUAGAAAAGUUG